GAUGAGAGUAAGCCACAUGGGAAUCUGCAUCAAUCCGAUUACACUGCAGCGGAUGCAGUCUACAGGGGAAAGCUCCGUCCAUGGAACCGGACAACAAGAAGAUGUGUAACCUGGGCAUUUUCUUGAUGAAGCAAGGUCGCGUAGACGAGGCCAAAGUGCACUCAAGAGCAUGACGCCGGCAUCCUCAGAUACCCGCUGGGGCGCCGACUCACACCUUAAGUCAUACGAGCGCGCACAGGAGCAAGGGCAGCCACAGCAGUCGGACCAUUUACGGAGUACUGGAAUUUCCGUCUUGUUCGCCACGCUUGCUCAAUCCAGGCCCAAGCGAGAGAUUGAAAUCAUCGCCUCCCGCAGCAGGUACGAUUCCUGGGACUACGACGACACGAUGAGGACGACUAAAAUCCUUGACGACAUCCACCAUUUUUUUGCGGCGGAGGUGCUCAAGAAGAAGCAAACUCGAACGCUCCAUCCACCACCAACACUAGCCAAGUUCUCGCUCGGAGAUCCCUCUUGGGAGGCUGGAGGUGUAUUAUAAUAUUCUCAACUGCUAUAUGGAUUGGAGUGCGAGGCCUUCGCACACCCCGCCUUCCAAGGCUCACGUCCCAGUGGAUCCGGCAAGCUCCCAGCAGUGACGCGCAACCGGCAGCGUCCAAUCCCAGCGGCAGGCUGGCGGCGAGCUCCUCGCCGCAGCCCAAGAGCCCCGAUCCGGCAAGGGCGUCGAUGACCGCUCCAUAGUCGUGCUCCGCCACUAUGAGUAAGCAGCCCCCUUUGCUUGCAAGCGUUGAGAAUGCCCAGGAAUGUGAUGCUGUCCAGCGCGAAGCCCUGGAGCUGCAUCAGUCGGGUGGUAUGGUGGCUUGGUUACAGAUCGAGCAUAGGCUGUGAUCAUGGAGCUCCAGGACACGGGAUCCGGGUCGGGGAUCAUUGCAAAUACCUUUGCUGAGUUUUCGAGACUCCCGUUAUCGGCGUAAGCUGCGGCCAGCGAGCUCCAGGAUCCCACAUUACGGUAGGCUAUUGCGUCGAGCGUCUGCAGCUUUUGGAGUAAACGGUCAAGAGUGCAUUGCAGGAAACCACGAAGAACACCUGCAUGGCUGCCUCGAGAUGGAAGUGUUGGCCGUAGGCCGAGAUCAAGGCCGAGCAGGCCACCGUUUUCCAUUCAGGCAUCCGGUCAAACAGGCACUUAGCAUCUUCCGCACACGCGGUUACCAUGGCGCUCCAGCACACGAUGUCUUCGCGGGAGAGGAAUCACAUACUUUUUGCGCUCCCUGCAAGCCCCCAGCCUCGCCAAAUGCUUUCAUCAUUGACGUUAAAGAAACCACGUCCAUCUCUGGCAUGGAUUUAUUUGAGCCCCGGCACAAUGCCCCGCUACAGCAUUUCCACGCUGAAACAUCUCAUUAAAGGCACGCAGAAAAACAAAUCGCGAGUCUCUGCCAGCUUUUUGAACAAUGUGUACGCUUGUAAAAGAGUAUUCCAGCUGGCCACGCUACGUACGGGCAUCACAUUAAACAAGGCAAUUGAAACGUCAAAAUGCCCUGCUUGGGCAUUUGCUAAGAGGACAGUAGUCCACGAAACGACGCCCCUCUCCUCCGGCAUCACUGCCAUAGCUUCGCGAAGGUUAGCGAGCUGGAAAUGACCACGCAGGAUUGUGUUCCAAACACCUCUCUUGCGUCCGGUAAAAUGCAUGCCGCGAUGAAAAGCUUCCACGAGAAAACAUUGGGAUGCUUGAUGGCCCCAAAAGCCUUGCACGCAAGCUCCAAGUUUCCAGGCUUCCCAUACCUGUGAAUCAGCAAGUUGGAGCGAUAUCUCGCCCUCGAAUCGUCGAGCAGCAGGGCAAUCCAGUUCUUAGAGCUAGAGCAACCAUCGCCUCAUCGCAAACUCUCAGCCAACCUUGUCCUCCUCUUCGAAAAGACCAUACUUUCCUGGUUGCUCCAUCUUUCAUCGCAUACAUGUUCGCAAGGAGGUCAUGGGCGGCACCACCCAAGAGAGUCUUAGCUGCGUGAGCACCAUGUUCCAAAUUGCUAUAGCUCGUCGAUGCACCCAGCAAACAAUCGCCAGUCCAUGGAGCUUGUUUGCAACGAUCCCAUGCGAAGCAACGCAAGCCAUCCCAAACUUAUCCAGUGCGUCCACACACGAGAAGAACCAACGUGGAGCCCGGUCUCUCCUCUUCAACCUUGAUCGCACCAUACACAUCCAGCGCGUUUGAAAACGCCCAUUAUGCGCAUAAGCCGAAAUCAUGGCGUCCCAGGCAAUCGGAUCUUUAUCUGGGCUUUGAUCAAGGAUUUUCUUGGAGUGUGUAACACGACCACUUUGCCCGUAACCUGUUAGUAUGGUGGUUACUGCAACCAAGCCCUGCACAGGCAUUGUAUCAAACAGAAGCUUGGUAUGUUCCAGAUGCCCGCUUUGGGCACUUGCUGAGAGGAUUGAGUUCCAGGAAAUAACAUCAUGCCAAGCCUCAUCAAGAUGCGCAUUCCAGCUCACAUUGCUCCUCCACGUCCCCCGCGGACCACAUCCGCCGGACUGCUGCUGCUGGCUCGUGGACGACGACGAUACAACUUAGUUUAACAUAAAACAUACUUCACUGGUUAUGGUCAACCUUGAUUAUGAACCAUACGAGAGUCUUUCCACAAGUAACAGAUAGAAAAGAAGCUCAAAGUCUGAAUAAUUAAAGCUGAUGAAAAGUAUUGUUGAGACGUAGCCUCAAUUUCACAUGGCGAAUUUGCAGAGCCUAGCAAAAGCAGCUCUUCCAUUAAUCUAGAAGUCCAAAAUUUACAUAUAUAUCCGUCGUUGUUCAGUCUGACCAAAAGAUCGUCACUAACUAUCAGUAGCUAUCGUAGCGUAAACCAGCCACAUACCAUUCCAACUACCCAUACUUCCCCACCG
Long non-coding RNA from Selaginella moellendorffii, 2877 nucleotides. RefSeq lists it as uncharacterized. The record is from RefSeq and is a predicted model, not a curated record. NCBI's taxonomy places the organism in Eukaryota, Viridiplantae, Streptophyta, Lycopodiopsida, Selaginellales, Selaginellaceae. The transcript is spliced from 2 exons.